GGUGAAGAACGUAGCGAAAUGCGAUAAGUAAUGUGAAUUGCAGAAUUCAGUGAAUCAUCGAAUCUUUGAACGCACAUUGUGCCCGCCAGUAUUCUGGCGGGCAUGCCUGUCCGAGCGUCAUUUCAACCCUCAAGCCCCCGGGCUUGGUGUUGGAGAUCGGCGAGCCCCCCGGGGCGCGCCGUCUCCCAAAUAUAGUGGCGGUCCCGCUGUAGCUUCCUCUGCGUAGUAGCACACCUCGCACUGGGAAACAGCGUGGCCACGCCGUAAAACCCCCCACUUCUGAAAGGUUGACCUCGGAUCAGGUAGGAAUACCCGCUGAACUUAAGCAUAUCAUAAGCGGAGGA
Molecule: unclassified non-coding RNA, 344 nt
Filed under: soil metagenome
Description: partial contains 5.8S ribosomal RNA, internal transcribed spacer 2, and large subunit ribosomal RNA
Rfam family: 5.8S ribosomal RNA (bases 3-120)
Source: RNAcentral